This 253-nucleotide ribosomal RNA is filed under the name uncultured bacterium. RNAcentral describes it as "partial 16S ribosomal RNA". It matches the Rfam family "Bacterial small subunit ribosomal RNA", at positions 524 to 776 of the family's 1533-position model. The record is from RNAcentral.
UACGUAGGGUGCGAGCGUUAAUCGGAAUUACUGGGCGUAAAGCGUGCGCAGGCGGUUCGCUGUGUCCUGUGUGAAAGCCCCGGGCUUAACCUGGGAAUGGCAUGGGAAACUGGCGGGCUGGAGUGUGGCAGAGGGGGGUGGAAUUCCGCGUGUAGCAGUGAAAUGCGUAGAGAUGCGGAGGAACACCGAUGGCGAAGGCAGCCCCCUGGGCUAACACUGACGCUCAGGCACGAAAGCGUGGGGAGCAAGACGG